Molecule: ribosomal RNA, 250 nt
Filed under: uncultured bacterium
Lineage: Bacteria
Description: partial 16S ribosomal RNA
Rfam family: Bacterial small subunit ribosomal RNA
Source: RNAcentral
GAAGGGGGCUAGCGUUGCUCGGAAUCACUGGGCGGAAAGCGCACGUAGGCGGCUUUCUAAGUCAGGGGGGAAAUCCUGGAGCUCAACUCCAGAACUGCCUUUGAUACUGGGGAGCUCGAGUCCGGAAGAGGUGAGUGGAACUCCGAGUGUAGAGGUGAAAUUCGUAGAUAUUCGGAAGAACACCAGUGGCGAAGGCGGCUCACUGGUCCGGUACUGACGCUGAGGUGCGAAAGCGUGGGGAGCAAACAGG